AGGGCAAUUCGUGGAUGCCUUGGCGCAUACAGGCGAUGAAGGACGUGGCACGCUGCGAUAAGCUGCGGUGAGGUGUGAGCAACCUUUGACCCGCAGAUUUCCGAAUGGGGAAACCCACCUAUCCCGUUUAACUUGUUCGUUCCUGGUAACAGGGGCGGCCAAGCUAAAUGGGGCUAGGUAUCACUUAAGUGAAUACAUAGCUUUCGUGAAGCGAACCCGGCGAACUGAAACAUCUCAGUAGCUGGAGGAAAAGACAUCAACCGAGAUUCCGUUAGUAGUGGCGAGCGAACGCGGACCAGGCCAGUGCCGACAAGUGAAUUAGCAGAACGAUUUGGAAAGAUCGGCCAUAGCGGGUGACAGCCCCGUAUGCGAAAGUGAAAUUGUCGGACUUGAGUAGGGCGGGACACGUGUAAUCCUGUCUGAACAUAGGGGGACCACCCUCUAAGCCUAAAUACUCGUAUGCGACCGAUAGUGAACUAGUACCGUGAGGGAAAGGUGAAAAGCACCCCGAUGAGGGGAGUGAAACAGUACCUGAAACGGAUUGCCUACAAGCAGUUGGAGGGUCCUUGAGGCCUGACAGCGUACCUCUUGCAUAAUGGGUCUGUGACUUAAUGUAUCAAGCAAGCUUAAGCCGUUAGGUGUAGGCGCAGCGAAAGCGAGUCUGAAUAGGGCGCCAGAGUUUGAUGUAUUAGACCCGAAACCCGGCGAUCUAGGCAUGACCAGGAUGAAGGUGCGGUAACACGCACUGGAGGUCCGAACCGAUUAACGUUGAAAAGUUACCGGAUGAGUUGUGUUUAGGGGUGAAAGGCCAAUCAAGCCGGGAAAUAGCUGGUUCUCCGCGAAAACUAUUGAGGUAGUGCCUCGAGCGAAUACCGUAGGGGGUAGAGCACUGGAUGGAUGCGGGGGUCGCGAGACCUACCAACUCUAACCAAACUCCGAAUACCUACGAGUACUACUCGGGAGACAGACGGCGGGUGCUAAGGUCCGUCGUCAAAAGGGAAACAGCCCUGACCUACAGCUAAGGUCCCCAAGUCAUCACUAAGUGGGAAAGCAUGUGGAACUUCCAAAACAACCAGGAGGUUGGCUUAGAAGCAGCCAUCCUUUAAAGAAAGCGUAACAGCUCACUGGUCUAAAUAAGAGGUUCUGCGGCGAAGAUGUAACGGGGCUAAAGUGAUGCACCGAAGCUUAGGGUGUGGCGUGAGCGACACGGUAGCGGAGCGUUCCGUAAGCCUGUGAAGCGAUCUGGUAAUGGGUCGUGGAGGUAUCGGAAGUGCGAAUGCAGACAUGAGUAGCGAUAAAAAGGGUGAGAUGCCCUUUCGCCGAAAGACCAAGGGUUCCUGCGCAAGGCUAAUCCGCGCAGGGUGAGCCGGCCCCUAAGACGAGCCCGAAGGGGGUAGUCGAUGGGAACCACGUUAAUAUUCGUGGGCCUGGUGGUGUGUGACGGAUCUCGUGUGUUGUUCUCCCUUAUUGGAUUGGGAGGGCUUCGAAGAGGUUCCAGGAAAUAGCCCCACCGUAUAGACCGUACCCGAAACCGACACAGGUGGUCAGGUAGAGAAUACCAAGGCGCUUGAGAGAAGUGUCCUGAAGGAACUCGGCAAAUUGCCUCCGUACCUUCGGAAGAAGGAGGCCCUCAUUGUGCGCAAGCAUUUUGAGGGGGCACAGGCCAGGGGGUAGCGACUGUUUAGCAAAAACACAGGGCUCUGCUAAGUCGGCUUCAAGACGACGUAUAGGGCCUGACGCCUGCCCGGUGCCUGAAGGUUAAGUGGAGGGGUGCAAGCUCUGAAAUGAAGCCCAGGUAAACGGCGGCCGUAACUAUAACGGUCCUAAGGUAGCGAAAUUCCUUGUCGGGUAAGUUCCGACCUGCACGAAUGGCGUAACGACUUCCCCACUGUCUCCAGGACAUGCUCAGCGAAAUUGAAUUCCCCGUGAAGAUGCGGGGUUCCCGCGGUUAGACGGAAAGACCCCGUGCACCUUUACUGCAGCUUCAGAGUGGCAUUAGGAAAGAACUGUGUAGCAUAGGUGGGAGGCUUUGAAGCGU
Molecule: ribosomal RNA, 2038 nt
Filed under: marine metagenome
Description: bacterial LSU rRNA
Rfam family: Bacterial large subunit ribosomal RNA
Source: RNAcentral